GACGAACGCUGGCGGCGUGCUUAACACAUGCAAGUCGAACGGAAAGGCCCUGCUUUUGUGGGGUGCUCGAGUGGCGAACGGGUGAGUAACACGUGAGUAACCUGCCCUUGACUUUGGGAUAACUUCAGGAAACUGGGGCUAAUACCGGAUAGGAGCUCCUGCUGCAUGGUGGGGGUUGGAAAGUUUCGGCGGUUGGGGAUGGACUCGCGGCUUAUCAGCUUGUUGGUGGGGUAGUGGCUUACCAAGGCUUUGACGGGUAGCCGGCCUGAGAGGGUGACCGGCCACAUUGGGACUGAGCUACGGCCCAGACUCCUACGGGAGGCAGCAGUGGGGAAUAUUGCACAAUGGGCGGAAGCCUGAUGCAGCACCGCCGCGUGCGGGAUGACGGCCUUCGGGUUGUAAACCGCUUUCGCCUGUGACGAAGCGUGAGUGACGGUAAUGGGUAAAGAAGCACCGGCUAACUACGUG
RNAcentral lists this ribosomal RNA (468 nucleotides) under uncultured bacterium. RNAcentral's name for it is "partial 16S ribosomal RNA". It matches the Rfam family "Bacterial small subunit ribosomal RNA", at positions 28 to 507 of the family's 1533-position model. The record is from RNAcentral.